AGACUUGUAAUGAGGUUGAACUACCUACUCUUGAAAUGAACACUCUAUCCCAGUCUGAAGUGCGAGACGUAGAGAAGGUGUCUCCUGAGAUGGACCAAUUAUCAUUGGAGAAUCAAGACCGUGUUGAGAAGGAUAUGGUGAAGAUCUCAUCUGUCGAAGAGCAUGUUUUAAAUGGGGAGCAGAGCUUUUGUGCACCCACUGAAGCAGUUGAGGAGAUAACUCCUAAGACCCAGCUGUCAUCAGACACCAAUGAUUGUGG
Molecule: non-coding RNA, 259 nt
Organism: Paramormyrops kingsleyae
Lineage: Eukaryota; Metazoa; Chordata; Actinopteri; Osteoglossiformes; Mormyridae
Source: RefSeq, a predicted model, not a curated record